GUGCUUGCAUUAGCAGCACCCAUACUAAAAAAGGAACAAUACAGAGAAGAUCCUGCACAAGGAUGACAUGCAAAUUCAUGAAGCAUUCCAUAUUUUA
This is a small nuclear RNA of Ursus americanus (American black bear), 97 nucleotides long. The record is from Ensembl. Lineage: Eukaryota; Metazoa; Chordata; Mammalia; Carnivora; Ursidae.